Molecule: ribosomal RNA, 407 nt
Filed under: uncultured bacterium
Lineage: Bacteria
Description: partial 16S ribosomal RNA
Rfam family: Bacterial small subunit ribosomal RNA
Source: RNAcentral
AUUGAACGCUGGCGGCAGGCCUAACACAUGCAAGUCGAGCGGAGCGGCGGACGGGUGAGUAAUGCCUAGGAAUCUGCCUGGUAGUGGGGGAUCACGUCCGGAAACGGGCGCCAAUACCGCAUACUAUCAGAUGAGCCCAGGGCGGUUUAGCUUGUUGGUGGGGUAAAGGUCUACCAGGGCGACGAUCCGUAACUGGUCUGAGUGGAUGAUCAGUCAACCGAGAACUGAGACACGGUCCAGACUCCUCCGGGAGGCAGCAGUGGGGCAUAUUGGACAAUGUGCGAAAGCCUGAUCCAGCCAUGCCGCGUGUGUGAAGAAGGUCUGCGGAUUGUAGAGCACUUUAAGUUGGGAGGCGUUACCAGCCGAAUAAGCACCGGCUAACUUCGUGCCAGCAGCCGCGGUAAGAC